GCGGGAUUAGUUUAAUGGUAAAAUAAGGGAUUUCCAAUCCUUUGAUGGGAGUUCGAUUCUCCCAUCCCGCACCA
This 74-nucleotide transfer RNA is filed under the name bacterium. RNAcentral's name for it is "tRNA-Gly". It matches the Rfam family "tRNA". Rfam says of the family: Transfer RNA (tRNA) molecules are approximately 80 nucleotides in length. The record is from RNAcentral.